Molecule: ribosomal RNA, 465 nt
Filed under: Vreelandella stevensii
Lineage: Bacteria; Pseudomonadati; Pseudomonadota; Gammaproteobacteria; Oceanospirillales; Halomonadaceae
Description: partial 16S ribosomal RNA
Rfam family: Bacterial small subunit ribosomal RNA
Source: RNAcentral
CCUACGGGUGGCAGCAGUGGGGAAUAUUGGACAAUGGGGGGAACCCUGAUCCAGCCAUGCCGCGUGUGUGAAGAAGGCCCUCGGGUUGUAAAGCACUUUCAGUGAGGAAGAACGCCUGGUGGUUAAUACCUAUCAGGAAAGACAUCACUCACAGAAGAAGCACCGGCUAACUCCGUGCCAGCAGCCGCGGUAAUACGGAGGGUGCGAGCGUUAAUCGGAAUUACUGGGCGUAAAGCGCGCGUAGGUGGCUUGAUAAGCCGGUUGUGAAAGCCCCGGGCUCAACCUGGGAACGGCAUCCGGAACUGUCAAGCUAGAGUGCAGGAGAGGAAGGUAGAAUUCCCGGUGUAGCGGUGAAAUGCGUAGAGAUCGGGAGGAAUACCAGUGGCGAAGGCGGCCUUCUGGACUGACACUGACACUGAGGUGCGAAAGCGUGGGUAGCAAACAGGAUUAGAUACCCGGGUAGUC